GUCUAUGGCUAUGCCACUCUGAACAAGCCUGAUGUCUAAUCUUGGAAGUUAAGUGGAGUUGGGCCUGGUUAGUACUUGGAUGGGAGACCACCUAGGAAGACUAGGUGCUGUAAGCA
Molecule: ribosomal RNA, 116 nt
Filed under: Pteropus alecto (black flying fox)
Lineage: Eukaryota; Metazoa; Chordata; Mammalia; Chiroptera; Pteropodidae
Source: RNAcentral